RNAcentral lists this ribosomal RNA (253 nucleotides) under uncultured bacterium. RNAcentral describes it as "partial 16S ribosomal RNA". It matches the Rfam family "Bacterial small subunit ribosomal RNA", at positions 524 to 776 of the family's 1533-position model. The record is from RNAcentral.
UACGGGGGGGGCAAGCGUUGUUCGGAAUUACUGGGCGUAAAGGGAGCGUAGGCGGUGUGGCAAGUCUGAUGUGAAAUCUCCGGGCUUAACCCGGAGCGGUCAUCGGAAACUGCCAUGCUAGAGUGUGGGAGAGGAGAGUGGAAUCCCCGGUGUAGCGGUGAAAUGCGUAGAUAUCGGGGGGAACACCAGCGGCGAAGGCGGCUCUCUGGACCACAACUGACGCUGAGGCUCGAAAGCUAGGGGAGCAAACAGG